GACGAACGCUGGCGGCGUGCUUAACACAUGCAAGUCGAACGAUGAAGCCGGAGCUUGCUCUGGUGAAUUAGUGGCGAACGGGUGAGUAACACGUGAGUAACCUGCCCUUGACUCUGGGAUAACUGCUAGAAAUGGUAGCUAAUACCGGAUACGACCCUCGGAGGCAUCUCCAGGGGGUGGAAAGAAUUUCGGUCAAGGAUGGACUCGCGGCCUAUCAGCUAGUUGGUGAGGUAACGGCUCACCAAGGCGACGACGGGUAGCCGGCCUGAGAGGGUGACCGGCCACACUGGGACUGAGACACGGCCCAGACUCCUACGGGAGGCAGCAGUGGGGAAUAUUGCACAAUGGGCGUAAGCCUGAUGCAGCAACGCCGCGUGAGGGAUGACGGCCUUCGGGUUGUAAACCUCUUUUAGUAGGGAAGAAGCGAAAGUGACGGUACCUGCAGAAAAAGCACCGGCUAACCACGUGCCAGCAGCCGCGGUAA
RNAcentral lists this ribosomal RNA (484 nucleotides) under uncultured bacterium. RNAcentral's name for it is "partial 16S ribosomal RNA". It matches the Rfam family "Bacterial small subunit ribosomal RNA", at positions 28 to 523 of the family's 1533-position model. The record is from RNAcentral.